Myotis myotis is the source of this 781-nucleotide long non-coding RNA. RefSeq lists it as uncharacterized. NCBI's taxonomy places the organism in Eukaryota, Metazoa, Chordata, Mammalia, Chiroptera, Vespertilionidae. The transcript has 3 exons. The record is from RefSeq and is a predicted model, not a curated record.
UUCUCCUUCAGGCCCAGACCCGUCCUGGCCGCCCGGAUUCCACCGCCCAGGCAAGAAGCGCCUCUCUGCCCAGCGACCCUUUCUUACCCUUUCUUUCUGGGUUUUGUCACAGAGGAAUUUUUAUUCCGGCGGUUCAGAGCGGUGGGGGUAGGUGGCCCCAGGGUGGUGGGGUGGAUGUCAGUGUGUGAAGGAGAAAAGAUGGGAAGGAAGGAAAGGGAAACGUUAGGCCUUCCAUUCCUGGAGCCAUUCCAUCCUGGAAUCCAAGGCCAAUGAAGGAGGUGAUUCUUCACCACAACAAGGCACCCAUCUCUCCGGACUCAGUAGCCACACUCUCCUGGGACAUAUCUGCUCCUCCUUUCCUGGGAAUGUGUUCUCUUGCUUUUCCCAAGAAGGCGGUCAACUCUUCCACAGAAAGAGCCACAGUUUUAUUCCCUAAAGGUAUGGCAUCCUCAACAUUACCGAGUGGGUUGUACCAAAUUAGCAUCUCUCUUGCGCUCUCUUCUCCCUCUCUCUCUCUCCUCUCUCGAUUCCCCAGGCUCUUAGCAGACACCGCUGCUUCUUUGAGGAAGGGGGGAGGCUUUCUGGAAUCCCUUCGGAAGGGCACGAAUCCUGUUUGUUUUGUUCUGUUUAGCUUUCUGAGGAGAAAACACUGAUUUCAGGGUAUAUGCGUGUGUGGUUGAAAAAGUUUCCUCCUGCCCUAGCUGGUUUGGCUCAGAGAAUAGAGUGUCAACCUGUGGACUGAAGGGUCCCAGGUUUGAUUCUGGUCAAGGGCACAUGCCCG